This 1348-nucleotide long non-coding RNA is filed under the name Homo sapiens (human). Its description in RNAcentral is "HSALNT0026797". Lineage: Eukaryota; Metazoa; Chordata; Mammalia; Primates; Hominidae. The record is from RNAcentral.
CAAGCUGAACUGAUUAGCUAAUAACUGUUGGUUUUCAUUAAACCCUGAUUAUCUCAUUAGCGCAUAUGUAGCCAAUAUGAAUUCCUUGAUCUUUCUUGGUAUUUAAAUAUACCAAAUCGAGAUAAAUGAAUUUCAGUAGUCAUCCUCUAUCCAUUAAGUCGAAUUAUUUUACUUGUGUUGGAAACAUUUUAGCAAUCAAAACUGGGUAUCUUUUUAGGUUUAGAGGAAAAAAUUAGGGCUCAGGUUUUGAGAGUAGAGAAGAGGAAGUGAGAUCUUGAGGAAGACUUUGAUUGAAGGUCAUUCAGAUAAGCUUUUUUUCUUUUUUUUAAUUUGUCAUCUUCUUUGGGAUGCUGUGUUUAUAGGUGAGAUCACGUGAUGAUGGAGAAGGUCACCAGAGCCAGGCACCUUGUCCACACACAGGGCUUCCUUCCUCCAUGACUUAACCCAGAGAUGUAGACGGCGGGGUCAACAUUAAAUACCACAAACAGGCAAAAGAGCUUCAGACAGAAGGAUCAUCUUCCUGAAGACAAAAUAAUCAUCAUCCUUUGAGGGCAAAGUGGGCAACGUUAUGGGAACUUGUUUGGAAUUGAGCCUUGAUUCUGAAAAGAAAGUAUCAGAGGGCAGCAUUUGAACUGGCAUUUAAGGUGUCAACCAGGGGGAAUUUGGUGCCGACCAGUAAAAGGGGAGAAUCAAAAACAGAAGCUCCAUCACCAGGGACAGGGCCAGACUCCUGACUAGAAACUCAGUGGAUGUGCUGAAUCAUUCGGAUACUUUCCAGAAAAUUAUUUUACCUACUCAGAAGGCUGGGCAUCAGCCAAAACUGUCUGGAAAACCACAAGGAAAGACAUUUCCAUGAAGUAACUAGAGUUUUGGGCUUCUACUCUAGAGGAAUAUAAGAGGAACUUUCUUUAAAGAGUAUGCAGGUGGUUCCUUUUAAGCUCACCUGUCUGGUUUUUCAAACAGAUCAAGGGGUGAUGGCAGGGAAACGUCUCCCCUGGAAAUCUCACCCCUCCAUUUGCUAAAGAGAAGGAGCUUCAAUCCCUUGACAGGAUGAUGAAACAAUAAUAAACUGAUGUGACCAAGUCUCAUGCCAGCAGUCCUACCUGUGGCCCACCCUUCUCGUGGCCAACAAUGGCUUUUCUUAAAUAAAUAAAAAUCAAGAUUUGUACCACUCCUGCUGUAAGCUCUUCAGUGGCUCAUGGAUGAAUGAACAGGAUCACCAUUGGCACACAAGUCCCCCCACAGAUCACCUACUCAUCUUUCCACCCCAGCUUUUGCCAUUCUCUCCCCAUCCCACAAAUCCAUUGCCAUCCAAAGAUAAGAAAGAUACCAGAUAGGGCUUCCCAGU